CAAAAUAAAUGAUAACGCAGGGAUAGCCAUGGCCUGAACACCACAUCCGCUGGGGAUUAUCAUCUCUUUUCUUGUGCUUUUCUUGAACCCCGAAAAAUUUUCUUCUUUUUUAUUUCAUUUUCUUGAACCCCAAAAUCUUUUUUUUGCGCAAAUGGUCCCCGAUCACUGCAUUUGAACCCCAUUCUCCUGUUUCCUUGUGAUAAUUCUGAUGGCAACGUCGGAAAUAACACUAAUCACCACUCUGAGGGCGACAUAUCAGAG
Molecule: long non-coding RNA, 261 nt
Filed under: Lathyrus oleraceus (garden pea)
Lineage: Eukaryota; Viridiplantae; Streptophyta; Magnoliopsida; Fabales; Fabaceae
Description: Pisum sativum (pea) long non-coding RNA (PSAT_LNC019502)
Source: RNAcentral